GUCGAAAGACGGACUUAGUGAUCCGGUGGUUCCGCAUGGAAGGGCCAUCGCUCAACGGAUAAAAGCUACCCCGGGGAUAACAGGCUUAUCUCCCCCAAGAGUUCACAUCGACGGGGAGGUUUGGCACCUCGAUGUCGGCUCAUCGCAUCCUGGGGCUGUAGUCGGUCCCAAGGGUUGGGCUGUUCGCCCAUUAAAGCGGUACGCGAGCUGGGUUCAGAACGUCGUGAGACAGUUCGGUCCCUAUCCGUCGUGGGCGUAGGAAAUUUGAGAGGAGCUGUCCUUAGUACGAGAGGACCGGGAUGGACAUACCUCUGGUGUACCAGUUGUCGUGCCAACGGCAUAGCUGGGUAGCUAUGUAUGGACGGGAUAAGUGCUGAAAGCAUCUAAGCAUGAAGCCCCCCUCGAGAUGAGAUUUCCCAACUUCGGUUAUAAGAUCCCUCAAAGAUGAUGAGGUGAAUAGGUUCGAGGUGGAAGCGUAGCGAUACGUGGAGCUGACGAAUACUAAUCGAUCGAAGACUUAAUCAA
Molecule: ribosomal RNA, 525 nt
Filed under: Staphylococcus pseudintermedius
Lineage: Bacteria; Bacillati; Bacillota; Bacilli; Caryophanales; Staphylococcaceae
Description: partial 23S ribosomal RNA
Rfam family: Bacterial large subunit ribosomal RNA
Source: RNAcentral